RNAcentral lists this ribosomal RNA (471 nucleotides) under uncultured bacterium. RNAcentral's name for it is "bacterial SSU rRNA". It matches the Rfam family "Bacterial small subunit ribosomal RNA", at positions 335 to 803 of the family's 1533-position model. The record is from RNAcentral.
ACUCCUACGGGAGGCAGCAGUGGGGAAUAUUGCACAAUGGGGGAAACCCUGAUGCAGCCAUGCCGCGUGUGUGAAGAAGGCCUUGGGUUGUAAAGCACUUUCAGUAGGGAGGAAGGUAGUGUAGUUAACACCUGCACUAUUUGACGUUACCUACAGAAGAAGCACCGGCUAACUCCGUGCCAGCAGCCGCGGUAAUACGGAGGGUGCGAGCGUUAAUCGGAAUUACUGGGCGUAAAGCGCAUGCAGGCGGCCUGUUAAGUCAGAUGUGAAAGCCCGGGGUCUUAACCUCGGAAUUGCAUUUGAAACUGGCAGGCUAGAGUCUUGUAGAGGGGUUAGAAUUUCAGGUGUAGCGGUGAAAUGCGUAGAGAUCUGAAGGAAUACCAGUGGCGAAGGCGGCCCCUGGACAAAGACUGACGCUCAGAUGCGAAAGCGUGGGAGCAAACAGGAUUAGAUACCCCUGGUAGCGACUGA